This 90-nucleotide transfer RNA is filed under the name bacterium. It matches the Rfam family "tRNA". From Rfam's summary of the family: Transfer RNA (tRNA) molecules are approximately 80 nucleotides in length. Their secondary structure includes four short double-helical elements and three loops (D, anti-codon, and T loops). The record is from Rfam by way of RNAcentral.
GGACAGGUGGCCGAGCGGUUGAAGGCAACGGUCUCGAAAACCGUCAUACGGGUAACCCUCGUAUCAAGAGUUCGAAUCUCUUCCUGUCUG